Neopsephotus bourkii (Bourke's parrot) is the source of this 1051-nucleotide long non-coding RNA. RefSeq lists it as uncharacterized. The transcript is spliced from 4 exons. Lineage: Eukaryota; Metazoa; Chordata; Aves; Psittaciformes; Psittacidae. The record is from RefSeq and is a predicted model, not a curated record.
AAGCGUGCUGGGGGUAGGGACAUGGGAAACGCCGCUGGAAGCGCUCGGCGCCUGCCAGGCGCCCGCUGCGUGCAGCCUUGGCACUUCCCUGCCACAAACCGCUCCCUGGACCGCGUCCCGGUGCUCGCGGUGACAGACGGCGACGUUAAACACACCACGGGCUGAUGCCCAACGCAACCGGCCCCGCUGCUCCCCUGGUGUGGCUUCGUCUCCCACCCUGGGAUGUGGUGGGUACCGGAGCAUCCCCCCGAGCAUCACCCCCAUCUCCUGGCGUUGGGCAUCGCCCCAUCGGCGUGUAAAUAACACACGGAUAAAAAAGAGUGGGGUUCGAUUUUCCUGAGGAGAAAGGAAGGGCUAAAGACAAAAGAGGCCGGUUACCAAUUGGCUGCAGCGCAGGGAAAAUUGCUAUCAAGGAUAUGGAACCCCAAAGGAGAAAGGGGAAAAGCUGAGGAGGAGCGAGAGCAGGCGGGAGCUCUGCCAAGGGAAAGAUGAGCUUGAUGAAGUUACUGCUUGUCUCCCAGAGCAGAGCGAUGGGAGCGGGGCGACAGGAACGAGGUCAUGAAAGCAGAAAGGAAAAUACAUUAGAAAUGUUCAGCUGCUCAGUCUAGCCUGAAAUGUGCUUAAAUCAGCCCCGAGUAAACAAUGAGACGGGAUUAAUUGCAAUUAGUCCUCAGGAGAAAGGUGGCAUCCCCCUUCCCUGGCUCCCCAGGGGCCGCUCCCUGCCCUGCUGGGAUCACCCGGCCGGAUCCAGCCCCGGGCAGGAUCGGUGACGCCGUCCUUCCGAGCGCGGUGGCUGCGGGGAACCGCGUUAUCUCCGCCGAGGCAGAGGCGAGAGCCCGGCAGCUGCUGGAGCUUCAAAGGAACCUGCAAAUCCGGCGUAUGCAAAAGCCCGGCCGGCUCCGCAGAUAAACAGGGACGUGCCAGCUCCUGCGGCACCGGCAGUGCCCGGCCCCGGGGUUAUGUUCAGCCUUGGGGUGAUGUUCAGCACUAAGGUUAUGUUCAGCCCUGGGAUGAUGUUCAGCACCAGGGUAAUGCUCAGCCCCGGGGUGAU